AUGACGAGGCACUACGGUGCUGAAGUAACAAAUGCCCUGCUUCCAGGAAAAGCCUCUAAGCAUCAGGUAACAUCAAAUCGUACCCCAAACCGACACAGGUGGUCAGGUAGAGAAUACCAAGGCGCUUGAGAGAACUCGGGUGAAGGAACUAGGCAAAAUGGUGCCGUAACUUCGGGAGAAGGCACGCUGGUGUGUAGGUGAAG
This 203-nucleotide ribosomal RNA is filed under the name Klebsiella quasipneumoniae subsp. similipneumoniae. RNAcentral describes it as "partial 23S ribosomal RNA". It matches the Rfam family "Bacterial large subunit ribosomal RNA", at positions 1566 to 1767 of the family's 2925-position model. The record is from RNAcentral. Lineage: Bacteria; Pseudomonadati; Pseudomonadota; Gammaproteobacteria; Enterobacterales; Enterobacteriaceae.